Magnolia sinica is the source of this 1116-nucleotide RNA transcript. It is a transcript of the gene named alpha-galactosidase 2-like, with no coding region annotated. The record is from RefSeq and is a predicted model, not a curated record. NCBI's taxonomy places the organism in Eukaryota, Viridiplantae, Streptophyta, Magnoliopsida, Magnoliales, Magnoliaceae. The transcript is spliced from 5 exons.
UCACAUACGACACUUAUGAGAAUUUCUUGUUUCUUAUUAAUGCAAGUAUUUUGUACCACUCUCUCAACUUAAACCCUUGCAUUAAGUGAUCUCUUCUUUGUCAGUUACACAACUUGCAGCAAAACCAUGUCAGGCUACCUUGGGCAUGAAGUGCAAGAUGCGAGAACAUUCGCCUCAUGGGGUGUCGAUUAUUUGAAGUACGAUAACUGUUACCAUAAUGGAUCAAGACCUCAAUAUAGGUAUACAAGGAUGAGUUACGCAUUCUGGAAGGUUGGCCGACCCAUUUUGUACUCUAUAUGUGAAUGGUAAGUCAUGUUGUACUAAAAGUUACACCCUUCAGCAUCAAUAGCUCAUUGAUUGGUAGUACUCUUUCAAGCUUCUUAUUUUAGUUAUGUUUCAUAGUCUCUAAGGCGUAUGUUUUCUAUAGGGGUAAACAGAAUCUAGCAACAUGGGUUAGUAGUUUUGGAAAUGCAUGGAGAACAAUAGGUGACAUUCAAGACAAGUGGGAGAGGUUUCCAUCUUGUCUUUUGGUUUGAUCCUUGAAUGUUUGGGCAGGGGCUUUGUCAGGGAGACGGAUAGCGGUUGUGUUAUGGAAUAGAAGUGGGUCUCAGGCUCCCAUAACAGUGGUUUGGAGGGAAAUUGGACUCUCCCCAAAUACACCUAUAGUAGUCAGAGACUUAUGGGUGCAUUCAUAUGUGUCAAAGAGUUUGCGUUUCCAGUUGACGGCGUUUAUUGGUCCUCGUUCUUGUAAGAUGUAUGUACUCACCCCAACAUGAAUUGUAUGAAUGAAGAAGAAGAAGAACAGAGAAGGAGCCUGCCUACAAUUUAUUAAAGAGGAAUUUUAGGAUCCCAUUUCUUUAGAUUUUAGUUUGUUUAAGUGAGUUCAAUGAAAUAAUCCCAAUUGUUGGUCUAUUGAGCCCCACUGUGGAUGGAACCUACCCUAAAAAUAUCAUCAAUAGGAUAAUUCCAACCAUUCAAUUUGUCACCUGUAAGUAGAUGGCUGAAACGAAAUGUUGCAAUGGUCCAUCUUCAACUUAGAAAAGCCCUGUAAUUGGUGGCUUGGUUCUUCUGAACUGGGAGAUCUGUUUCGGCAUGAUCUAUCUUGGAUGCGCUCAA